This 446-nucleotide ribosomal RNA is filed under the name soil bacterium 2V-11. Its description in RNAcentral is "bacterial SSU rRNA". It matches the Rfam family "Bacterial small subunit ribosomal RNA", at positions 24 to 485 of the family's 1533-position model. The record is from RNAcentral.
UCAGGAUGAACGCUGGCGGCGUGCUUAACACAUGCAAGUCGAACGAUGAUCCCAGCUUGCUGGGGGAUUAGUGGCGAACGGGUGAGUAACACGUGAGUAACCUGCCCUUGACUCUGGGAUAAGCCUGGGAAACUGGGUCUAAUACCGGAUAUGACUCCUCAUCGCAUGGUGGGGGGUGGAAAGCUUUUGUGGUUUUGGAUGGACUCGCGGCCUAUCAGCUUGUUGGUGGGGUAAUGGCCUACCAAGGCGACGACGGGUAGCCGGCCUGAGAGGGUGACCGGCCACACUGGGACUGAGACACGGCCCAGACUCCUACGGGAGGCAGCAGUGGGGAAUAUUGCACAAUGGGCGCAAGCCUGAUGCAGCGACGCCGCGUGAGGGAUGACGGCCUUCGGGUUGUAAACCUCUUUCAGUAGGGAAGAAGCGAAAGUGACGGUACCUGCAGA